UCGAGUAGACCAAGGCGCUUGAGAGAACUCUGCUGAAGGAACUAGGCAAAAUGGUACCGUAACUUCGGGAGAAGGUACGCUGUUGUUGGUGAUGGAACUUGCUUCCUGAGCUGACGACAGCCGCAGAAACCAGGCCGCUGCAACUGUUUAUUAAAAACAUAGCACUCUGCAAACACGAAAGUGGACGUAUAGGGUGUGAUGCCUGCCCGGUGCUGGAAGGUUAAUUGAUGGGGUUAGCGUAAGCGAAGCUCUUGAUCGAAGCCCCAGUAAACGGCGGCCGUAACUAUAACGGUCCUAAGGUAGCGAAAUUCCUUGUCGGGUAAGUUCCGACCUGCACGAAUGGCAUAAUGAUGGCGGCGCUGUCUCCAGCAGAGGCUCAGUGAAAUCGAAAUCGCUGUGAAGAUGCAGUGUACCCGCGGCUAGACGGAAAGACCCCGUGAACCUUUACUGCAGCUUGACACUGAACUUUGACCUUACUUGUGUAGGAUAGGUGGGAGGCUUUGAAGCUGGAACGCUAGUUCCAGUGGAGCCGUCCUUGAAAUACCACCCUGGUAAUGUUGAGGUUCUAACUCUGUCCCGUGAUCCGGGACGAGGACCGUGUCUGGUGGGUAGUUUGACUGGGGCGGUCUCCUCCUAAAGAGUAACGGAGGAGUACGAAGGUGCGCUCAGCGUGGUCGGAAAUCACGCGUAGAGUAUAAAGGCAAAAGCGCGCUUAACUGCGAGACCCACAAGUCGAGCAGGUACGAAAGUAGGUCUUAGUGAUCCGGUGGUUCUGUAUGGAAGGGCCAUCGCUCAACGGAUAAAAGGUACUCUGGGGAUAACAGGCUGAUACCGCCCAAGAGUUCAUAUCGACGGCGGUGUUUGGCACCUCGAUGUCGGCUCAUCUCAUCCUGGGGCUGAAGCAGGUCCCAAGGGUAUGGCUGUUCGCCAUUUAAAGAGGUACGCGAGCUGGGUUUAGAACGUCGUGAGACAGUUCGGUCCCUAUCUACCGUGGGCGCUGGAAAUUUGAGAGGAUCUGCUCCUAGUACGAGAGGACCAGAGUGGACGAACCUCUGGUGUACCGGUUGUGACGCCAGUCGCAUCGCCGGGUAGCUAUGUUCGGAAGGGAUAACCGCUGAAAGCAUCUAAGCGGGAAGCCUACCUCAAGAUAAGAUUUCCCUAGGACUUUAUGUCCUCUAAAGAGCCGUUCGAGACUAGGACGUUGAUAGGUUGGAUGUGGAAGCAUAGUGAUAUGUGAAGCUGACCAAUACUAAUUGCUCGUGAGGCUUGACUAU
This 1274-nucleotide ribosomal RNA is filed under the name Acinetobacter baumannii. RNAcentral's name for it is "partial 23S ribosomal RNA". It matches the Rfam family "Bacterial large subunit ribosomal RNA", at positions 1672 to 2925 of the family's 2925-position model. Lineage: Bacteria; Pseudomonadati; Pseudomonadota; Gammaproteobacteria; Moraxellales; Moraxellaceae. The record is from RNAcentral.